This is a long non-coding RNA of Erigeron canadensis, 704 nucleotides long. RefSeq lists it as uncharacterized. NCBI's taxonomy places the organism in Eukaryota, Viridiplantae, Streptophyta, Magnoliopsida, Asterales, Asteraceae. The record is from RefSeq and is a predicted model, not a curated record. The transcript has 3 exons.
UCAAGAUUCAUGAAAACUUAUCCAGUUAUCUUCAUUCUCACCAUCACUUUUUCUACACUAAUCUUUUUCAUCCUUUGUAACCUAAUAAAACCCACCAACAAAAUUCUUAUCUUAAUAAAACAUUAAUGAAACCAUUAUUAAAACCUCGACUACCUCUUCACUAUUCUUCAAAGUAUGUAAACAACAAAACCACCACCAAAACAAUCCAAAUCGAGCCAACACAUCGAUGUUUAAGUUCCUUUUUAGUUAUAUCUAUAAAUUUUUGUUCGUUUUUUAUAGAUCUAAACACCCAUCUUUAUUUGUUUUGUGUAGAUCUAAACAGUAUCGUAAAUCAUGGCCGAAGAUAUGAGGUUAUGUUGUUCGAUCCACACUAAAAGAGAUUGUUGGACUAAAAAGCUUUCAUCUUUGUAAAUGAAAUAUAAAAAGAUUGUAUAUAGAUCAGAAAGAACAAAGAACAAAUCUUGGGCUAUUGAUGGAAAAAAACAUAAGAAAAGGCAAAGAGUUUAUAAUUUUGUAUGUAGGUGUAUAAAUUUAGAAUGAGAUUCAUAUUUUGAUUUGAAUUGGGAAUUUUGUUGCAAUGUUUGUUUGUAAUGGUUAUUUUAUAAUUUUGAUUUCAAUUAUAUAUUUUGUUGUGAUGUUCGUUUGUAAUGGUUAUUGGUAAAGAAGAAUUAAGAGAGAUUAAUGAAUGUUUAUCUUAAUCUUAA